Molecule: ribosomal RNA, 410 nt
Filed under: Acidobacteriota bacterium
Lineage: Bacteria; Pseudomonadati; Acidobacteriota
Description: Acidobacteria bacterium partial 16S ribosomal RNA
Rfam family: Bacterial small subunit ribosomal RNA
Source: RNAcentral
UCGAGAAUCAUUCACAAUGGGGGAAACCCUGAUGGUGCGACGCCGCGUGGGGGAAUGAAGGCCUUCGGAUUGUAAACCCCUGUCAUGUGGGAGCAAAUUAAAAAGAUAGUACCACAAGAGGAAGAGACGGCUAACUCUGUGCCAGCAGCCGCGGUAAUACAGAGGUCUCAAGCGUUGUUCGGAAUCACUGGGCGUAAAGCGUGCGUAGGCGGUUUCGUAAGUCGUGUGUGAAAGGCGGGGGCUCAACCCCCGGACUGCACAUGAUACUGCGAGACUAGAGUAAUGGAGGGGGAACCGGAAUUCUCGGUGUAGCAGUGAAAUGCGUAGAUAUCGAGAGGAACACUCGUGGCGAAGGCGGGUUCCUGGACAUUAACUGACGCUGAGGCACGAAGGCCAGGGGAGCGAAAGGG